GGGCGCUUAGCUCAGCUGGUUAGAGCACCUCCCUUACAAGGAGGGGGUCGGGGGUUCGAGUCCCUCAGCGCCCACCA
This 77-nucleotide transfer RNA is filed under the name Candidatus Neomicrothrix parvicella. Its description in RNAcentral is "tRNA-Val". It matches the Rfam family "tRNA". From Rfam's summary of the family: Transfer RNA (tRNA) molecules are approximately 80 nucleotides in length. Their secondary structure includes four short double-helical elements and three loops (D, anti-codon, and T loops). Lineage: Bacteria; Bacillati; Actinomycetota; Acidimicrobiia; Acidimicrobiales; Microthrixaceae. The record is from RNAcentral. RNAcentral also lists the same sequence under 4 other names.